Molecule: non-coding RNA, 91 nt
Organism: Postia placenta Mad-698-R
Lineage: Eukaryota; Fungi; Basidiomycota; Agaricomycetes; Polyporales; Adustoporiaceae
Source: Rfam
GGCACUAUAGCCAAGUGGUUACGGCGACAGAUUCGAAUCACGUGAUAUCUGUUCCUCUUCGAGGGCGCAGGUUCGAGUCCUGCUGGUGUCG